UACCUACAACCCAAUCUUAGGGAGGCAUUUUCUAAAUUGAGGUCCCUCCUCCCAGAUGACUUUAGCUUGUGUCAAGUUGACAUAAAACUAGCCAGGACAUUCCUUUUCCCCCAAAUGUAUGGAAACCUAGCAUGCACUUUAUCACAGCUAGAGACAGAAGGAUAAGUUCUAGGCCAGUCUGGACUAAACAGUGAAACUGUCUCCAAGAAAACAGUAAGGAAAACCUGUUGUGGGAGCUGCUGACUCUCACAGAAUUGUAGUGCUCCUUCCUUUCUGAAGCGCUUUAGAGAUGCGCUCUUACGUGUGUGCUUUACGUAGUUGCAGUCAGUACUCUCUCUCCGUUGUCUUGUUUUCCCUUAACAUCAUUUCACAUUCUGAUUUCCAUCCCCGCAGUGCGCAUAAUGGUGUGCUUAAUGGCUGUCUAACAUUGAACUGGGCUUACUUUUGUGAGCAGACCCAAAAGCCUGCUGUCUCUUAGCAGGAGAGGCUUAUUUUAGUUCCUGGAAGUGGCAACUGGUGUGAGCGUGGGAUCCCAUGGCAUUCUUGACUCACCAGCACACAGCUCAGUCUGCUUUGUUAACAUUGCUCUGCCUACCACUCCACAGCAGAGCCUCCCCAGGCUUCCUGGACCUGAGUUGGACUCCUCCUGGGUGCAGAGGCAGGAGUAUAAUCCCCCAACUUCCGCAAACCCUGACCCAGAUCUAAUGCUAACAUAACAACAGCAAGAAAUGUCUGCUGCUUCCUCCCUUGCCGGGCAUCACAGUGGCACUGGUGUCCCCCACAGAGCUUGAAGUGAGUGAAGUGUCUGAAGGAGCAAGGGACAGGUUGUUAUAGCUGAAGGAAUAAGACGGAGCUCAGGGAUGCCGUGACCAUAACCCUAGGUGCAUUUGUGAAAAUGUAAUGGGCUGAAGUUUGGGUUCCAGGUACCAAAAUGUUGAGUGAUACCUUUCUUUUUUCAAACCUCUUCCUGGCAGAAACCCCAAUAUUUGGUCUGCUGAUAAAGAUAAAGGGUUUAUAGGAUUGGAUAAGAAAACAGUAAACUGGGGUUUGCCUCCUUAUCUAGCUGUGGCCACUGUCAUCUUCUGGACAAGGACAAUAGUUGGCAUGCAGGAUUCUCCUGAGAGAAAGUGAUAUUUGGUACAUCUCAUUAUUACGCCAUUCCAGCAGCAACUGUCUUGAAAAGAAGUGAUGGGUUAUUUUGCCACAAAUUAACACUGUUCUUUCCUUGUUCUUUUUCAUUUUUUUCAGACAGGGGCUCAUGUAGCCCAGGCUGGUAUCGAACUUGCCCUGAUCCUUACCUCCAGAGUGCUAGGAUUAUAGGCAUACACAGUCAUGCCCAGUUUCAUGCUGGGGAUCAAGGAACACAUGCAUAAUUUGUGGGGAUGAGAGUGCAGGAAUUGGAAACCAUUCAGAGCAACGGGAUGCCUGUACCUAGCCACAGUAUAUUCUGUAGUCCCAAAGUGAAGAUUUGACUUGAAAGAACUAAUAGAUUUAGAAUCUCCAUGGAAACGCCUCCAGAUGUCUAUGAGGAUGUUUCCACAGAAGGAAGACACCCUGGGUGUGUGCCGCAGCACCACAGUGGAGUGGGAUGGUCCUGGACUGGAAGGGGGGAGGGGUGUGAGAGUGAACUGAGCGCCAGCCUUUCUUUCUGCUCCCUGACUCUGAAUGCAGUGUCGCCAUUGCCAUAUGCUCUGUUGCCACAGCUAGGGCCACUCGAGAUAAUGUGCCUCUCUCUCCCUUCACAAUGGACUUUAUUUCCCCUCAAACUGGGAAGUAAAAUAAACAUUUCCUCGA
This is a non-coding RNA of Myodes glareolus (Bank vole), 1794 nucleotides long. The record is from RefSeq and is a predicted model, not a curated record. NCBI's taxonomy places the organism in Eukaryota, Metazoa, Chordata, Mammalia, Rodentia, Cricetidae.